This 561-nucleotide ribosomal RNA is filed under the name uncultured bacterium. RNAcentral describes it as "partial 16S rRNA". It matches the Rfam family "Bacterial small subunit ribosomal RNA", at positions 340 to 911 of the family's 1533-position model. The record is from RNAcentral.
UACGGGAGGCAGCAGUGGGGAAUAUUGCACAAUGGGCGGAAGCCUGAUGCAGCAACGCCGCGUGCGGGAUGACGGCCUUCGGGUUGUAAACCGCUUUCGCCUGUGACGAAGCGUGAGUGACGGUACUGGNUAAAGAAGCACCGGCUAACUACGUGCCAGCAGCCGCGGUNAUACGUAGGGUGCGAGCGUUGUCCGGAUUUAUUGGGCGUAAAGGGCUCGUAGGUGGUUGGUCGCGUCNGCAGUGUAAUCUNNGCGCUUAACCCUGAGCGUGCNNUCGGUACGGGCUGACUUGAGUACGGUAGGGGAGUAUGGAAUUCCUGGUGGAGCGGUGNAAUGCGCAGAUAUCAGGAGGAACACCAGUGGCGAAGGCGGUUCUCUGGGCNUUUNCUGACACUGAGGAGCGAAAGCGUGGGGAGCGAACAGGCUUAGAUACCCUGGUAGUCCANGCUGUAAACGGUGGGNACUAGGUGUGGGGUACAUUCCACGGNNUCCGNGCCGUAGCUAACGCUUUAAGUNCCCCGCCUGGGGAGUACGGNCGCAAGGCUAAAACUCAAAGGAAUU